Molecule: ribosomal RNA, 253 nt
Filed under: uncultured bacterium
Lineage: Bacteria
Description: partial 16S ribosomal RNA
Rfam family: Bacterial small subunit ribosomal RNA
Source: RNAcentral
UACGUAGGGACCAAGCGUUGUUCGGAUUUACUGGGCGUAAAGGGCGCGUAGGCGGCAAUUCAAGUCAGCUGUGAAAUCCCCGGGCUUAACUCGGAACGGUCAGCUGAUACUGCUUUGCUAGAGUGCAGAAGGGGCAAUCGGAAUUCUUGGUGUAGCGGUGAAAUGCGUAGAUAUCAAGAGGAACACCUGAGGUGAAGACGGGUUGCUGGGCUGACACUGACGCUGAGGCGCGAAAGCGAGGGUAGCAAACGGG